RNAcentral lists this ribosomal RNA (484 nucleotides) under uncultured bacterium. RNAcentral's name for it is "partial 16S ribosomal RNA". It matches the Rfam family "Bacterial small subunit ribosomal RNA", at positions 30 to 507 of the family's 1533-position model. The record is from RNAcentral.
AUUGAACGCUGGCGGCAGGCCUAACACAUGCAAGUCGAGCGGAUGAAGGGAGCUUGCUCCUGGAUUCGGCGGCGGACGGGUGAGUAAUGCCUAGGAAUCUGCCUGGUAGUGGGGGAUAACGUCCGGAAACGGGCGCUAAUACCGCAUACGUCCUGAGGGAGAAAGUGGGGGAUGUUCGGACCUCACGCUAUCAGAUGAGCCUAGGUCGGAUUAGCUAGUUGGUGGGGUAAAGGCCUACCAAGGCGACGAUCCGUAACUGGUCUGAGAGGAUGAUCAGUCACACUGGAACUGAGACACGGUCCAGACUCCUACGGGAGGCAGCAGUGGGGAAUAUUGGACAAUGGGCGAAAGCCUGAUCCAGCCAUGCCGCGUGUGUGAAGAAGGUCUUCGGAUUGUAAAGCACUUUAAGUUGGGAGGAAGGGCAGUAAGUUAAUACCUUGCUGUUUUGACGUUACCAACAGAAUAAGCACCGGCUAACUUCGUG